Molecule: ribosomal RNA, 530 nt
Filed under: uncultured bacterium
Lineage: Bacteria
Description: bacterial SSU rRNA
Rfam family: Bacterial small subunit ribosomal RNA
Source: RNAcentral
CCUUGACAUACUAAGAACUUUCAGAGAUGGAUUGGUGCCUUCGGGAACUUAGAUACAGGCGCUGCAUGGCUGUCGUCAGCUCGUGUCGUGAGAUGUUGGGUUAAGUCCCGCAACGAGCGCAACCCUUUUCCUUAUUUGCCAGCGGGUCAUGCCGGGAACUUUAAGGAUACUGCCAGUGACAAACUGGAGGAAGGCGGGGACGACGUCAAGUCAUCAUGGCCCUUACGGCCAGGGCUACACACGUGCUACAAUGGUCGGUACAAAGGGUUGCUACCUCGCGAGAGGAUGCUAAUCUCAAAAAGCCGAUCGUAGUCCGGAUCGCAGUCUGCAACUCGACUGCGUGAAGUCGGAAUCGCUAGUAAUCGCGGAUCAGAAUGCCGCGGUGAAUACGUUCCCGGGCCUUGUACACACCGCCCGUCACACCAUGGGAGUUUGUUGCACCAGAAGUAGGUAGUCUAACCGCAAGGAGGACGCUUACCACGGUGUGGCCGAUGACUGGGGUGAAGUCGUAACAAGGUAAGCGUAGAUGA